Molecule: ribosomal RNA, 699 nt
Filed under: uncultured Actinomycetales bacterium
Lineage: Bacteria; Bacillati; Actinomycetota; Actinomycetes; Actinomycetales
Description: bacterial SSU rRNA
Rfam family: Bacterial small subunit ribosomal RNA
Source: RNAcentral
GCAAGUCGAACGGAAAGGCUCCUUGCUUGCAAGGGGUACUCGAGUGGCGAGCGGGUGAGUAACACGUGGGUGAUCUGCCUUGCACUUCGGGAUAAGCCUGGGAAACUGGGUCUAAUACCGGAUAGGACCAUGCUUUAGUGUGUGUGGUGGAAAGUUUUUUCGGUGCAAGAUGAGCCCGCGGCCUAUCAGCUUGUUGGUGGGGUAAUGGCCUACCAAGGCGACGACGGGUAGCCGGCCUGAGAGGGUGUACGGCCACAUUGGGACUGAGACACGGCCCAGACUCCUACGGGAGGCAGCAGUGGGGAAUAUUGCACAAUGGGCGCAAGCCUGAUGCAGCGACGCCGCGUGGGGGAUGACGGCCUUCGGGUUGUAAACUCCUUUCGCUAGGGAAGAAGCCACUGUGUGGUGACGGUACCUGGAUAAGAAGCACCGGCUAACUACGUGCCAGCAGCCGCGGUAAUACGUAGGGUGCGAGCGUUGUCCGGAAUUACUGGGCGUAAAGAGCUCGUAGGUGGUUUGUCGCGUCGUCUGUGAAAUCCCGGGGCUUAACUUCGGGCGUGCAGGCGAUACGGGCAUAACUAGAGUGCUGUAGGGGAGACUGGAAUUCCUGGUGUAGCGGUGAAAUGCGCAGAUAUCAGGACGAACACCGAUGGCGAAGGCAGGUCUCUGGGCAGUUACUGACGCUGAGGAGCGAAAGCA